RNAcentral lists this small RNA (62 nucleotides) under Pedobacter alluvionis. Its description in RNAcentral is "Flavo-1 RNA". Lineage: Bacteria; Pseudomonadati; Bacteroidota; Sphingobacteriia; Sphingobacteriales; Sphingobacteriaceae. The record is from RNAcentral.
GCCUAAACCCGACAGCAGCGGUUCCGAUCCUUCAUCGGAAGUAGCGAAUGGCGGGACUGAGC